ACCCGACUGCUAUCGGAUUGGGAUUUAGCCAUGUUAGUUGUGCGUUCCCUGGCUACAGGGGACGCGGCGCACGGCUCAGUAACACGUAGUCAACCUGCCCUGGAGACGUGGACAAACCCGGGAAACUGGGGCUGAUCCACGAUAGAUGACCUCAUCUGGAAGGAGAGGUCGUCCAAAAGGCGGCGCGAGUAUGCUUCGCGUCUUCCGCUCCAGGAUGGGGCUGCGGCCGAUCAGGCUGUUGGCGGGGUAAUGGCCCACCAAACCUGUAACCGGUACGGGCUUUGAGAGAAGGAGCCCGGAGAUGGACACUGAGACAAGGGUCCAGGCCCUACGGGGCGCAUCAGGCGCGAAAACUUCGCAAUGCGCGAAAGCGUGACGAGGCUAGUCCGAGUGCCUUCCGCUGAGGAGGGCUUUUCUCGGCUGUAAAUAGGCCGGGGAAUAAGGGGAGGGCAAGUCUGGUGUCAGCCGCCGCGGUAAUACCAGCUCCUCGAGUGGUCGGGACGAUUAUUGGGCCUAAAGCACCCGUAGCCUGUUCAGUAAGUCCUCUGUUAAAUCCAAUUGCUCAACAGUUGGCACGCAGAGGAUACCGCUGGACUAGGAGGCGGGAGAGGCGGACGGUACUCCGCGUGUAGGGGUAAAAUCCUUUGAUCCGCGGAAGACCACCGGUGGCGAAGGCGUCUGACUAGAACGAAUUCGACGGUGAGGGACGAAGCCCUGGGGCGCAAACGGGAUUAGAUACCCCGGUAGUCCAGGGUGUAAACGCUGCGGGCUUGGUGUUGGGGGUCCUUUGUGGGCGCCCAGUGCCGGAGAGAAGUUGUUAAGCCUGCUGCUUGGGGAGUACGUCCGCAAGGAUGAAACUUAAAGGAAUUGGCGGGGGAGCACCGCAACGGGAGGAGCGUGCGGUUCAAUUGGAUUCAACGCCGGACAACUCACCAGGAGCGACGGUUACAUGAAGGCCAGGUUGAUGACCUUGCCUGAUUUUCCGAGAGGUGGUGCAUGGCCGUCGUCAGUUCGUACCGUAAGGCGUUCUCUUAAGUGUGAUAACGAACGAGACCCUCACCACUAAUUGCGAGCUUUCUCUCCGGAGGGAGUGCACAUUAGUGGGACCGCUGGCGCUAAGUCAGAGGAAGGAGAGGUCAACGGUAGGUCCGUAUGCCCCGAAUCUCCUGGGCUACACGCGCGCUACAAAGGUUGGGACAAUGGGCUACGACAUCGAAAGGUGAAGUCAAUCCCGAAACCCAAUCGUAGUUCGGAUUGAGGGUUGUAACUCACCCUCAUGAAGCUGGAUUCCGUAGUAAUCGCUUGUCAACAUCAAGCGGUGAAUAUGCCCCUGCUCCUUGCACACACCGCCCGUCAAGCCACCCGAGUAGGGUCUCAGUAAGGAUAUCUCUAAUUGGGGUCUUCGAACUGAGAUUCUGCAAGGAGGGCU
This 1429-nucleotide ribosomal RNA is filed under the name uncultured archaeon. RNAcentral's name for it is "partial 16S rRNA". It matches the Rfam family "Archaeal small subunit ribosomal RNA". The record is from RNAcentral.